AUCGCUUCUCGGCCUUUUGGCUAAGAUCAUGUGUAGUAUCUGUUCUUAUCAGUUCAAAUAAUUAAGUCCUUAUAUUGGUUAGUUAGGGUCUAAAUUAUUCUAUGUUAACAAUCACAAUACAUCAAUGACAAAUGAU
RNAcentral lists this small nuclear RNA (136 nucleotides) under Echinops telfairi (small Madagascar hedgehog). RNAcentral's name for it is "U2 spliceosomal RNA (ENSETEG00000024166.1)". The stretch from base 1 to 117 matches the Rfam family "U2 spliceosomal RNA". From Rfam's summary of the family: U2 is a small nuclear RNA (snRNA) component of the spliceosome (involved in pre-mRNA splicing). Lineage: Eukaryota; Metazoa; Chordata; Mammalia; Afrosoricida; Tenrecidae. The record is from RNAcentral.